GGUAUGGGCAGAUUUGCAGUCCUUCUUAUAUUCAGCAGAUGGGUGUUCUCCUCCCUUUGAAGGACAUUUAAACAUGGCUAUUACCAUAACCACUUGCAGGGAUAGUCUUCCUUACAGCCCUUCUCCCAUCCAGAGUCACGGUAAGUCUGGGGGGCCUGUGUCUCUGUAAACGACUACAACUCCCACAAGUCUGUGUGAGGAAGAUAUGAUGGUCCAGGAACAUGGCAGCUCCUCCAUAUAUUCUGGGGGUCGUGGUCCACCUGGCUUGAGGAGAAUUAAAUGAAUAUCACGAGAUGAACUACAACUCC
Molecule: non-coding RNA, 308 nt
Organism: Pelobates cultripes (western spadefoot toad)
Lineage: Eukaryota; Metazoa; Chordata; Amphibia; Anura; Pelobatidae
Source: the annotation of a GenBank genome assembly